Molecule: ribosomal RNA, 463 nt
Filed under: Vreelandella stevensii
Lineage: Bacteria; Pseudomonadati; Pseudomonadota; Gammaproteobacteria; Oceanospirillales; Halomonadaceae
Description: partial 16S ribosomal RNA
Rfam family: Bacterial small subunit ribosomal RNA
Source: RNAcentral
CCUACGGGAGGCUGCAGUGGGGAAUAUUGGACAAUGGGCGAAAGCCUGAUCCAGCCAUGCCGCGUGUGUGAAGAAGGCCUUCGGGUUGUAAAGCACUUUCAGUGGGGAAGAAAGCCUUGGGGCUAAUACCCUCGAGGAAGGACAUCACCCACAGAAGAAGCACCGGCUAACUCCGUGCCAGCAGCCGCGGUAAUACGGAGGGUGCGAGCGUUAAUCGGAAUUACUGGGCGUAAAGCGCGCGUAGGCGGUCUGAUAAGCCGGUUGUGAAAGCCCCGGGCUCAACCUGGGAACGGCAUCCGGAACUGUCAGGCUAGAGUGCAGGAGAGGAAGGUAGAAUUCCCGGUGUAGCGGUGAAAUGCGUAGAGAUCGGGAGGAAUACCAGUGGCGAAGGCGGCCUUCUGGACUGACACUGACGCUGAGGUGCGAAAGCGUGGGUACCAAACAGGAUUAGAUACCUAUAGUC